CAACCUAAAUGCCAUCUGUCUCAGUGUCAUUUCCUUUUUUAUCUUAAUUAAAAAUGUUACAGAUGAACAGCAAACAGGAAACCCAGCAAACAUCUUCCCAUGCGAUAUUCAUAGCCUGGUGCGAGGCUCCAGCGAGUGCUAAUCGUACAGACGGUUUGGUGAGUCUGUGUUACAAAGAGAGAUAAGGCCAAAGCAAGAUCUGAGGGGCACUGCCUUUCAUAAAGAACCCCUUCUACACUCAGCACGAAUGCCUGGUGCAGUUAACAGCUUUUCUUGUAUGCCCUCAGACCAGUCACUCUGGGCCUGAUGCGUCAAUUCGGACUUUGUGCCAAAGGCUUUUCCACUUCCCAUUGCCCACCUAGCACCAGACUCCAGGCUAAGCCGUUCUAGCCGAAUAAAGUGCAGCUCUGCCCUGCUGGCUGGGGACAGAGACGGAGGGGCUGGCAUUUGGGAGCACCACGCAGGCUGGAGCACAGCUCUUCCAUUUCCUCACCGCGAAGGCUGCCCCCAGACGCUGCCUCAGCGCACCGACCUGUAUGCUGUGCUCGGCUAUAGGGCUGGCUCCUGAGUGCAGGCCCUGCAGUUGCAGGUCACAGGAAUUCGUCCAUUGGCAGCGCCAACAGAGUUUCAACCAGUUUGCCUGAUAAUUGCCAGGAUCGCCUCUGGAGCCCUUUUAGAAGUCGAUGUCACAGUAGCUAUCCCCCAGUCAUCUGGUACAGAGGCUGACAUCAGCGCUAGGUUACGUACCAUCCCCCAUGGACGGGACGUCCCACCAGGGUUCUUCGCCUGCCCAUGGCUCGGCCACAAGCAUAUCCAUUGGAAGGCUCAGGCUC
Trachemys scripta elegans is the source of this 833-nucleotide long non-coding RNA. RefSeq lists it as uncharacterized. Lineage: Eukaryota; Metazoa; Chordata; Testudines; Emydidae. The transcript is spliced from 5 exons. The record is from RefSeq and is a predicted model, not a curated record.